This 468-nucleotide ribosomal RNA is filed under the name uncultured bacterium. Its description in RNAcentral is "partial 16S ribosomal RNA". It matches the Rfam family "Bacterial small subunit ribosomal RNA", at positions 28 to 507 of the family's 1533-position model. The record is from RNAcentral.
GACGAACGCUGGCGGCAUGCUUAACACAUGCAAGUCGAACGGAGAGGCCCUGCUUUUGUGGGGUGCUCGAGUGGCGAACGGGUGAGUAACACGUGAGUAACCUGCCCUUGACUUUGGGAUAACUUCAGGAAACUGGGGCUAAUACCGGAUAGGAGCUCCUGCUGCAUGGUGGGGGUUGGAAAGUUUCGGCGGUUGGGGAUGGACUCGCGGCUUAUCAGCUUGUUGGUGGGGUAGUGGCUUACCAAGGCUUUGACGGGUAGCCGGCCUGAGAGGGUGACCGGCCACAUUGGGACUGAGAUACGGCCCAGACUCCUACGGGAGGCAGCAGUGGGGAAUAUUGCACAAUGGGCGGAAGCCUGAUGCAGCAGCGCCGCGUGCGGGAUGACGGCCUUCGGGUUGUAAACCGCUUUCGCCUGUGACGAAGCGUGAGUGACGGUAAUGGGUAAAGAAGCACCGGCUAACUACGUG